Non-coding RNA from Podarcis muralis (Common wall lizard), 800 nucleotides. The record is from RefSeq and is a predicted model, not a curated record. Lineage: Eukaryota; Metazoa; Chordata; Lepidosauria; Squamata; Lacertidae.
GGAGGCUGGCGGGGGGGGGGGCUGCCUGCCUGCCUGCCUGUCUUGGCCCGUGUCCCUAAGGAGCAGGACCCUCGUGGUGCUUGAUGCAUACCCCUCAAUAUGUAGAAGGCAGCGGCGAGCAAGAGGCAGAACCUGACCUCUACUUGACCAGACAUUGUUAUGAGAUCCUGAACAGGCACCAGCCAUGUGACCUUGUUUCUCUGGAGUAUGUGCCCAGCACACCCACCCACCACUUAGGAUACAAACCUGACCCCUGCCUGGGAUGGAACAUCAGAUUCUGAGAGCUGAAGCAACCAAUGUAGUGGAGAAUUGGCUCUCUAAAUUCUGGGACCUUUUGAUCCAUGAAGAAGCUCUUAUUGCCAAGGCAAUGUUGCAUCAGGACCACCUGGAGAACCUUAUCUCAACAUGGCUGCAUUAUCUCUUUUUGUGAAGGUAACCCAGAGGAGAACUGGGGGGUUGGAAGAGUACUCAGAAGUCAUGUAAUCCAGACACCUUGCUAACGCAGUAAAUCCACCGCUAGAGCAUACUUGAUCUGCAGCCCUCCAAACCAGGAGUCUGUUGCAUUGUUGAACAGCUUGUACUGUCAGGCAAAGUUCCCUUUCUUGCCAUGUGAAGUUGUUGGUGUGGGUCUUACAUGCUGGAGCAAAAGAGAACAAUUUGCUCCACCAUCUAUGUGGCAGCCCAUAAGCCAGAGUGCUACUCUUCAGUCUGCAUUUAUGAAUAUAUACUUGGCUGUAACUUUAUGAGGAGUGAUAACAACAGCAGAAAAAGAGACAAACUUAUAAAGAGGAGAAACAGGA